UACGGAGGGUGCUAGCGUUGUUCGGAAUCACUGGGCGUAAAGCGCGUGUAGGCGGCCCACUAAGUCUGAUGUGAAAGCCCGGGGCUCACCCCCGGAAGUGCAUUGGAAACUGGUGGACUCGAGUCCCGGAGAGGAGAGUGGAAUUCCUGGUGUAGCGGUGAAAUGCAUAGAUAUCAGGAGGAACACCAGCGGCGAAGGCGGCACUCUGGGCUGGAACUGGCGCUGAGGAGCGAAAGCGUGGGGAGCAAACAGG
This 253-nucleotide ribosomal RNA is filed under the name uncultured bacterium. RNAcentral describes it as "partial 16S ribosomal RNA". It matches the Rfam family "Bacterial small subunit ribosomal RNA", at positions 524 to 776 of the family's 1533-position model. The record is from RNAcentral.